Molecule: long non-coding RNA, 3528 nt
Organism: Diorhabda carinulata
Lineage: Eukaryota; Metazoa; Arthropoda; Insecta; Coleoptera; Chrysomelidae
Exons: 3
Source: RefSeq, a predicted model, not a curated record
UUAGGCAAAUUUGACAGAACACCGAAUUUGUAGUAUAAAUAUGAAUUCUUUAGAAAAUUGCUUCCAUAUUUUUGGCACAUUUCAUAUACUAUGUAAUGGUGUUUGCAAAGUUUCUAUCACAUUUUUUGGGAUAUGACCUUAUCGGAUAAUAUUUCAAAUCUGUACUUCCACUAGGCAAUACGUCAGCAGGAAGACUGUAACUAACAUCUUCGUCAGGAUUUGGUAUGGCAUAUAAAUCUGGAUGAGCAGCAAUUGUUCUAGGUACAGACAUGUUUUGAUGAGGCACAAUGUCGGCAGGAAAAGCGUAUGAAUCAUCUGGCAGAAUUUGCAAAAACCAAGUUUCAAAGAUUAUGACUGGGCUUAUGAACAAUGGAUUCACGAUGUUGGACUGCUACUCCUAAGAAAAAGGAGUUCUGAAUGCACAAAAAAUUCAUUGUAAAUUGAAUGGUACCUAUAUGGAAAAGGGGGUUUUGGUUUGCCGAAAAAUCCCGGAACCUUUUUAUAUAGUUGUUUCAAUCAAAAAAGUGACUUGAGUAAAAGUUGCUGGAAAUAGGAUUUCAAUUAAAAAAAAAGUGUCUUCUGUGCCACCCUGAACAUCAAAAUUAAAAUUUGAAUACAGAAAUCAAUUCCUCGUUAAAAAAUAAUGGGGGCUUACAUUUUUGUUUUUGCACGUUCAACAAUCUGGCCUUAAAACUACAAUGUACAAUAAUUUGAUGUUUACCCCAGUGUGCAGCGUCGAACGUCAACAUGAAAUUACUCCUUGAUGGUGUUGUUAUCACAAUUUUCAGGAACAGGUUAUGAAUAAAAACACAUAUUUAAAUUGUAUUAUAUUUUCGAAUAUAUUUUACACUUAUUAUACUGAAAUGUAUACAUGGCGAUUGUCUUCAACUUCUAAAUAUUAGGGGUACGUAUUUGUAAUGUACUUAAAAAAACAAAUCAUAUCCGAAUAUUUUGUCGCACAAUAGCAUCACCAAUUCAAUAUCACAACGUUAUUAAUUAAAAAGACUAAAAUAAGCACAUUGGGUUUUAUUUAUAUAAGUUAACAAAAGUAUUAUUUUUUAACUGAAUCAUUUGAAUGUAGUCAAAAUCAUUAUGUGGAAUACUAACAGUUUCCAUAUCUGUUUAAUCUAUUUUUUUAGCCAUUUUUCUAUCCAAUGAGGUGUUGGUGCUAUUUUUAUUUCUAUGAUUAGCAUGAUUUGCGUAAUCUACACCACUAUAAAUACCCUAGGGCUUCUUCAUAUAUAAUGAAAUUUUUACUAAAAUUUUUUGAAGGUUAGUAACACAAACAAACAAAGCAACCACCUGAUCGUAUUUACCCGUUGUGUCUAACACAGAGUUAGCAAUAUAGAUAUAGAGAGCGUCAUGUAAGAGAAUUUAACUAUUGUAAAAGGAAGAAAAAGUAUCGCUUUACCACUCUUUAUCUUGCUCUAGGCGCUUUUUAAAUCAAAGCUUGUUAUUGUUCCUCUCUACAGUUACCACCAAUCGAAACUUCGAAGUCAUCUGGAUCUAUUUAGAAUAGAGUAGAAAGAGAUAUAUCUCGUAUACCGUUCUUUAUCUAUAUCAACAAUUCGUGCCAUUUUAAACUCGCUGCCAUAGCUCGCUCUCUUUAUUUUUUAUAUUAACUCUAUGGUUUUUAAAAAACUGAGAGGAAUUAUUUGAAUUUCAGUUGGCAAACCUUUACAUUACUGAUUGGUUAGAUCUAUGGACGGCAGAGGAAGACGAACAAUCUGUAUAUAUUAACAAUGUCCGUCAAAAUGCGUUAAAUGAAAGUGACGUCACAUUAGCAUCUGGGUAAAUUUUAAAGGUAGCGCCAAAUGCUAUUUACCCUGAAGACAAUUCUUCACACUUUCGUACAGCGCCUUUUUUCAGCUUAAAGAGAGAAUGCUACUUCUUUCUACCCUCUAUAGUUGAAUCAAAGACAGUUUCACUUAUUUUUGACAUAUGAUUGCAAAUAAAAAGAGUCUGUUUUAUUUCUUGUGUGCUUGUGAUUUCUUGUUAUAGUUUUAUUAAAAUAUUUGAACCGUUUUUAGCACUAAUUUAAACAUCGACUCGGAUUCUACUCAUAGUACUGAAUGUAAUUUGCACUCAAAAUUAAAUUUUAUUAAUACUAGUAUUUUAUGUCUUUGCGCCCAAUUCAGUUACUUUUUUAGCGAUUUCUAAUGGGGUUUCUAAAAAUGCUCCUCUUAGUUAUGGGUGAUAGAAAGAAGGAAGAGUCUAUUAUGGGAGAAAAGUUGAAACAGUGUCAAGUUGUAUACGAUAUAUGAUAGUUCCAAAACCUUCCAGAAUGGCGCUGGUGUAGACGAAGGGCAUGGUAUAAAUUCAGCCAUUGUAGAUAAAUUGAUGUACGAAGAGGCAAAAAAUUUAAUAUUAUUUUUAGUCAUUAGUUGAUUCUUAAAAAUUUCAACGACAUGCUGUAUACAGAAUAAUGUAGUAAAUAUAACCUAAAUGAAAUUUACCUUGAUGCUAAUGUGGCGUCGCCACGCUUAUUUAACGCAUUUCAACGAACACUUUUCAUAUACACAGGUUGUACUCUUUCUCUGUACUCUCUAUACUUCUAGUAAAAACACUAAUAAUUUUCCAACCUUUUUGAUAGCCUUCAUACUUGUAUUGUUCAUCCACAGAUAUAUCCAUUAACAAAGUACCAAAUUACCUAUCGGUAGUGGUAUCGUAGGUAGUGGUUUCGUAGGUAGGGUCAUGAUGUAAAGACUACAAGGUGUGCUAUAGCGCACCAGCUGGGAAGCAGCCAAUGAGAAUUCGCUCCCAAAACGACGCGCCAAUUUGAAACAUUUGAAUUGAAUACAUGAUGUAAAGACUACAAGGAGUGCUAUUGCGCACCAGCUGGGAAGCAGCAAAUGAAAAUUCGCUCCCAAAAAGAUGCUCAGAACGAGUCGAAAAUGAGCCCUCGGGAAGACACACCUUGUAGUCUUUACAUCAUGGGUAGGGUUUAGGUUAAUAGAAAAUCGAAUUUGAAACUAAUAUUAAAUUAGAAUAUUAGUAGAAUUGGCAUUUCUCAUUUCAAUAUUCAAAUGAUUUUCACAGGUAUAAGAUAUAACUCCUAAUUUAAAAUAGACAAUAUUUUUGUAGUGAACAUAAAAUCUCAUUAUUUUAUUAAUGUACAAUACUAGUUUUUAGAAUCAAUGUAUAAUAUACAAAAUAAUAGCUUUUAACAAUUUGUAUCUAUUUUUCAUUUUAAGGCAAUAAACCUAUUAUAUAACAAAAUCGUUAACAGGAAAUAUAUUUUUAUAUAUUAUCACAGUAAUACAUAAUAAAGAAUUUAUUCAUGUAUAUAAGUAUCUUAUGUUAUAACAGUGUCACAACAAUAGAAUAUAAUGUAAAUGUAUAACAGACACAAUUAAAAAAUAUUAAAUAUUUGCUGGUAGAUUUUUUUCUAGUAUUUUGAUCUUCUUUUGGGGUAACCUAUUUUCAUAUUUUUAUAAGUGUGAUAAAUUGUAGAAUAAAUUGUUUUGUAGUGUAGUAUUCGUAAAACUUUUUCUCAGUUGAAGACCGAACAUUACAAAAAGAAAACUU